UCCCCUUUUGAUUUCUUCUUUGUUUGAUCGGUAUUCUCCCUCAUUGGCUUCUUCUGUUUAAUUGGUUCUCUCUAUUUGGUUCUUCUCUUUGAUUGUCUCUCUAUUGAUUUCUUCUAAUUGAUUGACCUCUCUCUAUCGAUUCUUCUGAUUGAUUGCAUUUCUCCCUAUUGACUUCUUCUAUUUGGUUGCACUUCUCCCUAUUGUUUCUUCUGAUCGAUUGCACUUCUCCCUCUAUUGAUUCUGAUGGAUUGCAUUGCAUUUCUCCCUAUUUGGUUUCUUCUGUUUGAUUGCCUCUAUAUGAUUGCUUCUCUAUGUUGAUUUUCUGAUUGCAUCUCUCUCCGUAUUGAUUCUUCUUCUAUUUGAAUGCUUCUCUUUCUCUCUACUUUGGAUUGGUUUGAUUUGGUUCAAUUUGGAUUGGAACAAUUUGGUUUGGUUUCCUGUUUGGUUUGUUUUUGUUUGGACAUUUCUACUGAUGAUGGUUCUUGCUGCAUUUUCAAUGAUGUCAACUCACUUUGGUUGCUGCUCUCUGUUAGUUAUUUUGGUUUGAUGUCUU
RNAcentral lists this long non-coding RNA (553 nucleotides) under Trifolium pratense (red clover). RNAcentral describes it as "long non-coding RNA (TPRA_LNC011744)". The record is from RNAcentral. Lineage: Eukaryota; Viridiplantae; Streptophyta; Magnoliopsida; Fabales; Fabaceae.